UACGUAGGGGGCAAGCGUUGUCCGGAAUCAUUGGGCGUAAAGUGUGCGCAGGCGGCAGAGCAAGUCGAGUGUGAAAGCCCCGAGCUUAACUUGGGAAUUGCGCUCGAAACUACUUUGCUGGAGUGUGGCAGAGGAAGGUGGAAUUCCAGGUGUAGCGGUGAAAUGCGUAGAGAUCUGGAGGAACACCGAUGGCGAAGGCAGCCUUCUGGGCCAACACUGACGCUCAUGCACGAAAGCGUGGGGAGCAAACAGG
RNAcentral lists this ribosomal RNA (253 nucleotides) under uncultured bacterium. RNAcentral describes it as "partial 16S ribosomal RNA". It matches the Rfam family "Bacterial small subunit ribosomal RNA", at positions 524 to 776 of the family's 1533-position model. The record is from RNAcentral.